This 345-nucleotide ribosomal RNA is filed under the name uncultured bacterium. Its description in RNAcentral is "bacterial SSU rRNA". It matches the Rfam family "Bacterial small subunit ribosomal RNA", at positions 556 to 901 of the family's 1533-position model. The record is from RNAcentral.
GGGUGUAAAGUGCGCGUAGGCGGCGUUUUAAGUCGGGGGUGAAAGCCUGUGGCUCAACCACAGAAUGGCCUUCGAUACUGGGACGCUUGAGUCUGGUAGAGGUUGGUGGAACUGCGAGUGUAGAGGUGAAAUUCGUAGAUAUUCGCAAGAACACCGGUGGCGAAGGCGGCCAACUGGACCGGCACUGACGCUGAGGCGCGAAAGCGUGGGGAGCAAACAGGAUUAGAUACCCUGGUAGUCCACGCUGUAAACGAUGAAUGCUAGCUGUUGGGAUGUAUGCAUCUCAGUAGCGCAGCUAACGCAUUAAGUAUUCCGCCUGGGGAGUACGGUCGCAAGAUUAAAACU